RNAcentral lists this microRNA (21 nucleotides) under Corchorus olitorius. RNAcentral's name for it is "aau-miR3". The record is from RNAcentral. Lineage: Eukaryota; Viridiplantae; Streptophyta; Magnoliopsida; Malvales; Malvaceae.
UUGGUUUGAAGGGAGCUCCCU